RNAcentral lists this long non-coding RNA (448 nucleotides) under Heterocephalus glaber (naked mole-rat). RNAcentral describes it as "lncRNA (ENSHGLG00100045846.1)". Lineage: Eukaryota; Metazoa; Chordata; Mammalia; Rodentia; Bathyergidae. The record is from RNAcentral.
GCCGCGUCCGGCGGACGUGUCUCCGUGCUUGGUGUCACCCUGACCCGGUGGCUCUCCCCACCCUAACAUCCCUGAGAUGCCUCACCUCCUCCUCAGAUCUGUUACAGUCACUUCUCAGCGUCAGAACCAGUAUUCCUGAGAUCAGCACCCGGGGCAUCUCGACCUUGGCGUUACACCCUGGCCAUCCUCCGCUCCACCAGGCCAGCUCCUGGAGAGACCUGCCUAGCUCCUUUUCCUCUGGCCUCUCCUGUCUAAUGAAGCCUGACGGACAAACAAUUCUACUCAGAGCACCUGUAGACGGGCAUCACUCUCCACCUGCUCCUUGCCCUCACAGUGCUGGCAGCCUCCUGACACAGCAAGCGCCCUGCCAGAGACCUACAGCGCAUGUAAAAUACAAACCGGCAUUGCCAGGCAAAAAUUCACCGAGACCUUGAACGACAAACAGUUG